AGCAAAACAAGGAGGCCCUACUGAUCCAAAUAAGGAGCAGCUGGAGGUUCUUGAUGAUGAUGAGCUCGCCUUGAUCACGAGGCGAUUCAUGCGCUUCAACGACAACCGCAAGAACAGGCGAAGGAACAACAACAACUGCUUCGAUUGUGGCAAGCCAGGCCACUUCGCCGCCGACUGCCCCGACAA
Long non-coding RNA from Setaria italica (foxtail millet), 186 nucleotides. RefSeq lists it as uncharacterized. The transcript is spliced from 2 exons. The record is from RefSeq and is a predicted model, not a curated record. NCBI's taxonomy places the organism in Eukaryota, Viridiplantae, Streptophyta, Magnoliopsida, Poales, Poaceae.